Molecule: ribosomal RNA, 664 nt
Filed under: uncultured prokaryote
Description: bacterial SSU rRNA
Rfam family: Bacterial small subunit ribosomal RNA
Source: RNAcentral
UACGGAGAGUGCAAGCAUUAAUCGGAAUUAUUGGGCGUAAAGGGCGCGUAGGCGGAUUGGAAAGUCAGAUGUGAAAUUUCGAGGCUCAACUUCGAAGCUGCAUUUGAAACUGUCAGUCUAGAGGGUUGAUGGAGAAAACGGAAUUCCACGUGUAGCGGUGAAAUGCGUAGAUAUGUGGAAGAACACCUGUGGCGAAAGCGGUUUUCUAAUUAACACCUGACGCUGAGGCGCGAGAGCAAGGGGAGCAAACAGGAUUAGAUACCCUGGUAGUCCUUGCCGUAAAUGAUGUAUACUUGAUGUAAUUGGGCUCAACCCCGGCUGUGUCGGAGCUAACGCGAUAAGUAUACCGCCUGAGGAGUACGCUCGCAAGGGUGAAACUCAAAAGAAUUGACGGGGGCCCGAACAAGCAGUGAGCAUGUGGUUUAAUUCGAUGCAACGCGAAGAACCUUACCCAGGCUCGAAAUAUAAGAGACGCAUCCAGAGAUGGAUGUUUCCGCAAGGAUUGUUAUAUAGGUGCUGCAUGGCUGUCGUCAGCUCGUGCCGUGAGGUGUUUGGUUAAGUCCAGCAACGAGCGCAACCCUUAUCAUUAGUUGCCAACGCGAAAGGCGGGGACUCUAGUGAGACUGCCUGGGUUAACCAGGAGGAAGGUGAGGAUGACGUCAAG